ACUGGAGUGGGUUGCCAUGCCCUCCUCCAGCAGAUCUUCCCAACCCAGGGGUCGAACCUCCGUCUCCUCCGUCUCCUGCAUCUCCUGAAUUGCAGCUGGAUCGUUACCCCUGAGCCACCGGGGAAGCUCAAUGACUGGUAGAGAUAAAACUAAAGCCCAGGUCUCCCCACGUCCUCUGUGGCUUCUCCCCGCAUUAAGUCAGACACACUGUCCUGAAAUGAUAAAGAGAACGCAGGCAGACAUCCCGUAAUGGUAACACUGGUUCUUGACAUUUCCGUUGAGAGGGUUUUUCUAAGCUUUCUCCUAGCACGGUGCUUUGAAGCAGUGGUGCUUGUCGUCAGAGUGUUGACGGUCUCACUGUGAAGACGAGGAGGGUGAGGCUUCAUUUAUGGGUCUGCCCAGCAUCACACCAGUGGGUGCAGGGCGCCCAGAGUCUGAACCUAGGCCCACCACCCACAUGAGUGUUUCAGACCCAGAGUGGGGCCGGGUGCACACGGAUGACCAAGGUGCUACAGGAGCCACAUGGAUGCACCAGACAAGCCCUGCCCUCUGUGUUGCACACCCACCCAGCCUCCCACACUCCUUCCCAUCACGCUGUAUCCACACCACACAUGCCUGGCUCAAAACUGCCACCAAGACUCUCCCAGCCUCGGUCAAAGUCUGCCAACAUUUUACCUUGGAGUAAGGUAUUCAAUCUCUCCGUGCCUUGCUUUUCCCAACCUAUGAUCCAGCAAUCCCACUCCCAGGCAUAUAUCCAGAAAAAAAAACAAAAUGUAAUUUGAAAGAUGCGUGCACCCCAAUAUUCGUAGCAGCACCGUUUACACUAGCCAAAGCAUGGAAGCUCCCCAAGUGUGCUUUGGCAGAUGAACGGGAGACGAAGACGUGGUCCAUGUGUAUCGAUACGAUGAAAUGUGACUCAGCCAUCAAAAAUGGAAAAUGCCGUACGUAGCAACACGGGUGGACGUGGAGGUUACGGAACUAAGUGAAGCCAGAAAGAGGCAAACAUGACGCCGCUUAUGUGGGGAAUCUAAACACUGAUACAAAUGAACUUAUGAAACAGAAACAGACUCCCAGACUCUGCAAACAAAGGUAGGGUUGCCACAGGGGAAAGGUCGGUGGGGGAAGGGAUACAUCUGGGGAUUGAGACAGCACACACACUCUACUACACAGGAAACAGAGAACCAACAAGGACCCCCGGCAGCACACGGGACUCUGCUCAGUGACCUGUAACGACCGAAAAGUGAAAAGAGUCUGAGCAAGGAUAUGGGGCGUGUAUGACCGGACCAGUUUACUGUCACCUGGAACCAACAUAAGACUGUGAAUCAACUGCACUUCAGUA
RNAcentral lists this long non-coding RNA (1339 nucleotides) under Capra hircus (goat). RNAcentral describes it as "lncRNA (ENSCHIG00010027447.1)". Lineage: Eukaryota; Metazoa; Chordata; Mammalia; Artiodactyla; Bovidae. The record is from RNAcentral.